This is a long non-coding RNA of Microplitis demolitor, 1709 nucleotides long. RefSeq lists it as uncharacterized. The transcript has 3 exons. The record is from RefSeq and is a predicted model, not a curated record. Lineage: Eukaryota; Metazoa; Arthropoda; Insecta; Hymenoptera; Braconidae.
CUUAAUAAAAAAUAAUAUUAAUUUAUUAUUCAUCAACUUAAUCAAUUAUUUAAUUAUACAUCAAUCACCUCUUAUUUUUAAAAAUAAAUAUUUUUAUAAACUGCAUAAACAGUUUUCAACGACAAAAAUAAAAUUCUAAGGAAACGGAAGCAAUCAGUUUUUUUUAAACUCUUUUAAAAUCCAUAGGACUUAUUGUAAGUAUACCAACCGGACCAGUCUAUACAGCACGCAAUCUCGUAUUGCUGGUUUAUAAAUAGCCUUGAAGCCGUGAGAGAAGAUUAUACGUGCAUCUAAUGCUCGACCGUAAGAUUAUUCCUGGCGCCUGAAGGAGGAUUCGCCAUAGUCCUUAUUAUUCUUACUCUCUAAUAACCAACUUGGCUAAUAUAACGUUCGUUAAUACAUACUCACCACAAACGACCACGUUUCUUUACCACCACUGCCACCAUCACCAUCAUCAUCAUCAUCGCCAUCAUCAUAAUCAUCACCGCUACCUUCAUCGCUACCUUACCUUCUUUAUUUUCUUCUUAGUCUCCAACUAUUUUUCUACCUUUCGGCGUCUGAAUUUUCUAGCUAUUUAAUAUAUCUGCCACUCUGAUAUUUCCGCAUUCUACAUCUAUGAACAUUUAACGUUCUACUAUUUAAUGGACGUCUACUAAAUAUCAGAAUAAAAUUAAUAGGCGAUAAUGUCAAGAAAAGUUACUAGUGGCUACCGAUAUAGUUGCCUUUGUUAUUAUUAUCACAGAAUUUUAGAUAAUCGUCUUUCUUUGAGUGGGAAAAAAUCGUGAUAAAAAAUGGUGACGAAAGAUUGCAUCAAGAUGGUUUUGUGGAUUCUUAGCAAGGACUCUCACACCAAGCUCUUUGUAUAUACAUAUAUAUUUAAAUACACUGUACAGCUAUAAAAUAUAACCAGAAAAUCAGAGGAUCAAUGAACAAGCUUAUGAUAGAUCAAGUUAGCAGAGGAAGAAGAGUCGGGCAUGAUAAACAACCUGAUACCGGCGCCAGGAAUAGAAAAUCCAAGUUAACAUCAACUCAGCCAACGACAUAAUGUCAAUGUACUCAAUACAGCAAGGAGACGGCUUGAGUUUAUGGAUCAUUGAGUUUUUCAUUUUUUUAUCGAGUGUUUGCGGACUUGAGAGAUACAAUCCAAUCCAAGUUUUGCAGAAGUAAGAGAGAAGAGGUUUAGCUUUAGCUUUACUUUGCUAGUAAGAGAGACUGAGUUACUUCAAGUGAUAUUUAAGUUAAAGAGAGUCUUUAAUAUGAAGCUUGACAACGGAUAAGAAGCGAUCUCUUUGAGUUAAGUGGGGAUGAAACACAUUUAAUCUUUCAUCGCGUAAUAUUUAAUCCUUUCUACUUAUACCGUUACGAGUCUCGGUCAAGGAAAUUUAUGCGAAACGAAACUGGAGCAAAAUGAUCUGAAAUAAAAAGAAAAUGUUUGGGUGGUCCAAAAGUGCUCACCUCAAAAGAAAAGACAGAAGGACAUGGACCAUAAAUUUUAAGAAAAAAUUCAUCGAAAUUUACUGAUAUCUUUUAAAUGGGAAAGAAUUGGUUGUUGAUAUUCAAUAGGGUUCAUCUCAAGGAUGAAUGACAACUUCUACAACAAGAAUUAGGUGAUUCAUUGUUCGCCCAUACGAAAAAAAUUUAUAUCCGGAUAUAUCCGAGCAAAUCUGUAUAUAUGAGACACAAUGAAAAAUUAGUUAUCUCAAAUAAAA